GAAAACUAGAAACCGUUUGCUUAUAGCUCUGGGUUCAUCUUAGAUGAGACUGAAAGACAGAAGGCAAAGGAAGAAGCUCCAAAGAGUCUAGGGCUUGCUGGGCCCCGAAGUCAGGCCCCGGGGGAGGCUGAGGUGGCCGUGAUGGCGGCAGAGUGACUGCUGAAGGACAGGAGGUGCCACGGCCAAGAGAGUCUCUGGUGACAACAGCUGAGGCAGAGGGGUGACACGGACCUGCUCACUGCGACUGAAGAGCACUCUGGCUCUUAGUGACAUGAGGGAAUUACGCUUCUCUGGUUAUGAAAAAAGGUUCCCAUCAUCUUCCUCCUUCCUGCCCCACAGGAAGGGGACAGGGAAAGACCCACGCCGUGGAGGUGAGGAGUAAGAACCAGGACAGGAGACUUCUGAAGGAGAACUUGAGCCUGGAGACUUCAGGAUGCCUCCCCAGUCCCUCCUAUACGGGGACCCAAGGCAGAGGGGUCACUGGGAAUCAACGCAUAGACAGUAAUUUUCCUCCUGCUUGGUAAGCCCUUGGAACAAUCUGAUGACUCGAUGUUUAAAAAUGUGUUCUACCAAAAAAAAAAGUGCUUCUACAGUAAGAGCAAGCAAGGAAGUAUCAGUUCUGUUUUCUUUUGUUUUCUGGGUUUUUAUGCAAUUGCUACAUUUUCCGGUUGAAUGUUGCUUCACUAUCUACAACGUCCUCUCUGCUUUGCCUCUCCAGCUUUCUUGCUUUACUGAAAGAGCCCUGGAACUUGCCAUUCCUGCAAAAGAUAUAAACUUAUUAAAAAAUCCCUACCACUAGAGUAGUAAGACUACUGAAAAUUCACCAUCUUUCUCGGAAAAUGCCUUCUUGUUGCUGUAUCUCCAAUGGCUGCCAAGCUGAGAACAUGCCCCGGUCGUCUCAGUCUGUCCAGAAGGUCUGGAAUGCUGGGUGAUUCCAGCAAAGACCUGGCACCAGGUUCCCCUGAGAGCAGAGGCCCUUUGGCACAAGCAUCUCACUGGGCCCGGAGCGGCUGUGUCAAGGUCUGGAGAACCAGCCUCGGUUUCCUCUAAGCAUGGAGUCACUGGUCUGAGGACAAGUUCAAAGCCAGGGUUUUCAAGACCCCAUGCUGGGCCCUGCCACCUUUUUCUGGACUUGAAGGGAGAAGGGAGGGAAACAAGGAAGAACUACAGCAUUUGUUUGGGGGGAUGAUAAUAUUUUUUUUUUUUCAAGCAGCUGUGAGCUUAGAGAAUGGCUUUAGGAAGCCCCACAUGUUGGGUGGAUGAAUCUGCUGGGACUCUGAGUUCAAACUGAGAAAAACCCCCUUGCUCAGAAGGCAUGUGCUAAACAUUUCAGGGGUGGGUCUGGCUGGAUACAUAACUCAGAUCAAACAAGGCCAGGAAUCAAUCUUUCUCUUGCUAACUCUUCAUUCAAAUUCCUCUGUGCGGCCUUCAUUUUCAGCACACCCUCAUGUGAAGGCUUGAAGAAUCCAGGCUUUCGUUCAGCUAGGCUAAGGAAAGAGUGCUUCUCUCCUUCUGAACAGCUCCACAUUAGUCCCAGGACUGCUUCAUCUCACUGACCUGCGUAGCGUGUCCUGUCUGCUUAAACAAUCAGAAGGUCUGAAAAAUGAAAUGAGUGGUUGGCUGGGUCUGGCCCUCCUCCUGCUACUCCAAGGGCUUCCCAGGUGGCAAUAGUGGUAAAGAAUCUGCCUGCCAAUGCAGGAGACAUAAGAAACGUGGGUUCAGUCCCUGGGCUGGGAAGAUCCCCUGGAGUAGGAAACGCCAACUUGCUCCAAUAUGCUUGCCUGGAAAAGUCCAUGCACAGAGGAGCCUGGUGACAGUCUGUGGGGUCGCAAAGACUCAAACACGAGCGAGAGACUGAAUGCACGUACACUGCUGCCUCAAAGGAAAACUGAGGCAAUGUUACCAGAAGAUGGAAUGAAUGGAGGUUAAACAACAGCAGGAAAUCCCCUCGGCAGGGGUUAUGUGGUAGUCUUUGGUAGAUAAGACUGCUGAGGGUACAGGCAGGGACAGCUCACAGGUCAGCAGUUCCAAAGAUCGGUCAGGGC
Bos taurus (domestic cattle) is the source of this 2045-nucleotide long non-coding RNA. Lineage: Eukaryota; Metazoa; Chordata; Mammalia; Artiodactyla; Bovidae. The record is from Ensembl.